This 253-nucleotide ribosomal RNA is filed under the name uncultured bacterium. RNAcentral's name for it is "partial 16S ribosomal RNA". It matches the Rfam family "Bacterial small subunit ribosomal RNA", at positions 524 to 776 of the family's 1533-position model. The record is from RNAcentral.
UACGGAGGAUCCGAGCGUUAUCCGGAUUUAUUGGGUUUAAAGGGUGCGUAGGCGGCCUAUUAAGUCAGGGGUGAAAGACGGUAGCUUAACUAUCGCAGUGCCUUUGAUACUGAUAGGCUUGAAUGUACUUGAGGUAGGCGGAAUGUGACAAGUAGCGGUGAAAUGCAUAGAUAUGUCGCAGAACACCAAUUGCGAAGGCAGCUUACUAAAGUAUGAUUGACGCUGAGGCACGAAAGCGUGGGGAUCAAACAGG